AGUGAACGCUGGCGGUAGGCCUAACACAUGCAAGUCGAACGGCAGCACAGUAAGAGCUUGCUCUUACGGGUGGCGAGUGGCGGACGGGUGAGGAAUACAUCGGAAUCUACUUUUUCGUGGGGGAUAACGUAGGGAAACUUACGCUAAUACCGCAUACGACCUACGGGUGAAAGCAGGGGAUCGUCUGACCUGGCGCGAUUGGAUGAGCCGAUGUGGGAUUAGCUAGUUGGCGGGGUAAAGGCCCACCAAGGCGACGAUCCGUAGCUGGUGUGAGAGGAUGAACAGCCACACUGGAACUGAGACGCGGUCAAGACUCCUACGGGAGGGAGCAGUGGGGAACAUUGGACAAUGGGCGCGAGCAUGAUACAGCCAUACCGCGUGGGAGAAGAGGGCCUUCGGGUUGUAAAGACCUUUUGUUGGGAAAGAAAAGCAGCAGGUUAAUACCCCGCUGUUCUGACGGUACCCAAAGAAUAAGCACCGGCUAACUUCGUG
RNAcentral lists this ribosomal RNA (492 nucleotides) under uncultured bacterium. RNAcentral's name for it is "partial 16S ribosomal RNA". It matches the Rfam family "Bacterial small subunit ribosomal RNA", at positions 29 to 507 of the family's 1533-position model. The record is from RNAcentral.